UGAGUACGAGAUGCUACGGCAUCGAAGCAGUCUAUGUCAUACUUCCAAGAAAAGCUUGCAAUGUCAUAAACAAAUAAUGCCUGUACCAUAACCGACACAGGUGGGUAGGUAGAGUAUACUAAGGGGCGCGAGAUAACUCUCUCUAAGGAACUCGGCAAAAUGACUCCGUAACUUCGGGAGAAGGAGUGCCUUAUUUUUAUAAGGUUGCAAUAACAAGAUCCAAGCAACUGUUUACCAAAAACACAGGUCUCCGCUAAGUCGUAAGACGAUGUAUGGGGGCUGACGCCUGCCCAGUGCCAGAAGGUUAAAGAAGUUGGUUAGCAUUAGCGAAGCUGAUAACUGAAGCCCUGGUGAACGGCGGCCGUAACUAUAACGGUCCUAAGGUAGCGAAAUUCCUUGUCGGGUAAGUUCCGACCCGCACGAAAGGCGUAAUGAUUUGGAUACUGUCUCGGAGAGGGGCUCGGUGAAAUAGACUUGUCUGUGAAGAUGCGGACUACCUGCACCUGGACAGAAAGACCCUAUGAAGCUUUACUGUAACUUGAGAUUGAAACUGGACUUUAUCUGCGCAGUAUAGGUGGGAGACGUUGAAAAUAUUCUUGCGGGAAUAUUGGAGUCAUCAGUGAGAUACCACUCUUAUAAUGUUAGAUUUCUAACUUUGUAUCAUUAUCUGGUCAAAGAACAGUUUCAGGCGGGCAGUUUGACUGGGGCGGUCGCCUCCCAAACGGUAACGGAGGCGCACAAAGGUUUCCUCUGAACGUGUAGAAAUCGUAUCUAGAGUGUAAAGGCAUAAGGAAGCUUGACUGUGAGACCUACAAGUCGAGCAGGGACGAAAGUCGGUCUUAGUGAUCUGACGGUGCUGAGUGGAAAGGCCGUCACUCAACGGAUAAAAGUUACUCUAGGAUAACAGGCUGAUCUCCCCCAAGAGUUCACAUCGACGGGGAGGUUUGGCACCUCGAUGUCGGCUCAUCGCAUCCUGGGGCGGUAGUACGUCCCAAGGGUUGGGCUGUUCGCCCAUGAAAGCGGUACGCGAGCUGGGUUCAGAACGUCGUGAGACAGCUCGGUCCAUAUCCGGUGUAGGCGUUAGAAUAUUGAGAGGAGCCUUCUUUAGUACGAGAGGACCGAGAAGGACAUACCUCUGGUGUACCAGUUAUCGUGCCAACGGUAAACGCUGGGUAGCCAUGUAUGGAGGGGAUAACCGCUGAAAGCAUCUAAGUGGGAAGCCCACCUCAAGAUAAGUAUUCUCAC
Molecule: ribosomal RNA, 1245 nt
Filed under: metagenome
Description: bacterial LSU rRNA
Rfam family: Bacterial large subunit ribosomal RNA
Source: RNAcentral